Molecule: ribosomal RNA, 253 nt
Filed under: uncultured bacterium
Lineage: Bacteria
Description: partial 16S ribosomal RNA
Rfam family: Bacterial small subunit ribosomal RNA
Source: RNAcentral
UACGUAGGGGGCGAGCGUUGUCCGGAAUCAUUGGGCGUAAAGCGCGUGUAGGCGGCUCGGUAAGUCUGCUGUGAAAGUCCAGGGCUCAACCCUGGGAUGCCGGUGGAUACUGUCGAGCUCGAGUCCGGAAGAGGCGAGUGGAAUUCCUGGUGUAGCGGUGAAAUGCGCAGAUAUCAGGAAGAACGCCCGUGGCUAAGGCGGCUCUCUAGUACGGUACUGACGCUGAGACGCGAAAGCGUGGGGAGCGAACAGG